This 1396-nucleotide ribosomal RNA is filed under the name Microbacterium ginsengisoli. RNAcentral's name for it is "bacterial SSU rRNA". It matches the Rfam family "Bacterial small subunit ribosomal RNA". Lineage: Bacteria; Bacillati; Actinomycetota; Actinomycetes; Micrococcales; Microbacteriaceae. The record is from RNAcentral.
CUGCAAGUCGAACGGUGAAGCAGAGCUUGCUCUGUGGAUCAGUGGCGAACGGGUGAGUAACACGUGAGCAACCUGCCCCGGACUCUGGGAUAACAGUUGGAAACAGCUGCUAAUACCGGAUACGAGCUGCGAAGGCAUCUUCAGCAGUUGGAAAGAAUUUCGGUCUGGGAUGGGCUCGCGGCCUAUCAGCUUGUUGGUGAGGUAAUGGCUCACCAAGGCGUCGACGGGUAGCCGGCCUGAGAGGGUGACCGGCCACACUGGGACUGAGACACGGCCCAGACUCCUACGGGAGGCAGCAGUGGGGAAUAUUGCACAAUGGGCGAAAGCCUGAUGCAGCAACGCCGCGUGAGGGAUGACGGCCUUCGGGUUGUAAACCUCUUUUAGCAGGGAAGAAGCGAAAGUGACGGUACCUGCAGAAAAAGCGCCGGCUAACUACGUGCCAGCAGCCGCGGUAAUACGUAGGGCGCAAGCGUUAUCCGGAAUUAUUGGGCGUAAAGAGCUCGUAGGCGGUUUGUCGCGUCUGCUGUGAAAUCCCGAGGCUCAACCUCGGGCCUGCAGUGGGUACGGGCAGACUAGAGUGCGGUAGGGGAGAUUGGAAUUCCUGGUGUAGCGGUGGAAUGCGCAGAUAUCAGGAGGAACACCGAUGGCGAAGGCAGAUCUCUGGGCCGUAACUGACGCUGAGGAGCGAAAGGGUGGGGAGCAAACAGGCUUAGAUACCCUGGUAGUCCACCCCGUAAACGUUGGGAACUAGUUGUGGGGUCCAUUCCACGGAUUCCGUGACGCAGCUAACGCAUUAAGUUCCCCGCCUGGGGAGUACGGCCGCAAGGCUAAAACUCAAAGGAAUUGACGGGGACCCGCACAAGCGGCGGAGCAUGCGGAUUAAUUCGAUGCAACGCGAAGAACCUUACCAAGGCUUGACAUAUAGAGGAAACGGCUGGAAACAGUCGCCCCGCAAGGUCUCUAUACAGGUGGUGCAUGGUUGUCGUCAGCUCGUGUCGUGAGAUGUUGGGUUAAGUCCCGCAACGAGCGCAACCCUCGUUCUAUGUUGCCAGCACGUAAUGGUGGGAACUCAUGGGAUACUGCCGGGGUCAACUCGGAGGAAGGUGGGGAUGACGUCAAAUCAUCAUGCCCCUUAUGUCUUGGGCUUCACGCAUGCUACAAUGGCCGGUACAAAGGGCUGCAAUACCGUGAGGUGGAGCGAAUCCCAAAAAGCCGGUCCCAGUUCGGAUUGAGGUCUGCAACUCGACCUCAUGAAGUCGGAGUCGCUAGUAAUCGCAGAUCAGCAACGCUGCGGUGAAUACGUUCCCGGGUCUUGUACACACCGCCCGUCAAGUCAUGAAAGUCGGUAACACCUGAAGCCGGUGGCCCAACCCUUGUGGAGGGAGCCGUCGAAGGG